CAUCAUGGCCCUUACGACCAGGGCUACACACGUGCUACAAUGGCGCAUACAAAGAGAAGCGACUCGCGAGAGCAAGCGGACCUCAUAAAGUGCGUCGUAGUCCGGAUUGGAGUCUGCAACUCGACUCCAUGAAGUCGGAAUCGCUAGUAAUCGUGGAUCAGAAUGCCACGGUGAAUACGUUCCCGGGCCUUGUACACACCGCCCGUCACACCAUGGGAGUGGGUUGCAAAAGAAGUAGGUAGCUUAACCUUCGGGAGGGCGCUUACCACUUUGUGAUUCAUGACUGGGGUGAAGUCGUAACAAGGUAACCGUAGGGGAACCUGCGGUUGGAUCACCUCCUUACCUGAAAGAAGC
RNAcentral lists this ribosomal RNA (354 nucleotides) under Salmonella enterica subsp. enterica serovar Agona str. SA-2. RNAcentral's name for it is "bacterial SSU rRNA". It matches the Rfam family "Bacterial small subunit ribosomal RNA", at positions 1191 to 1533 of the family's 1533-position model. Lineage: Bacteria; Pseudomonadati; Pseudomonadota; Gammaproteobacteria; Enterobacterales; Enterobacteriaceae. The record is from RNAcentral.